AAGGAUAAUACAUAAAUUCAUCAUCUUCAGUUUUGAAAGACUUAGAUUGAAAAAAUAAGUUUUUCUUUUUUAAGCACCAAAGGGCCUAUAGCUCAGUUGGUUAGAGCACACGCCUGAUAAGCGUGAGGUCGGUGGUUCAAGUCCAUUUAGGCCCACCAAUAGAUUAAUAUAAACGGUCCUGCUUAAAAGAAAGUUCUUUGAAAAGUAGAUAAAUAUAGCUUUUAAAUUCUCUUCAUAAAAUU
RNAcentral lists this unclassified non-coding RNA (242 nucleotides) under Candidatus Phytoplasma fraxini. RNAcentral describes it as "16S-23S ribosomal RNA intergenic spacer". The stretch from base 82 to 155 matches the Rfam family "tRNA". Lineage: Bacteria; Bacillati; Mycoplasmatota; Mollicutes; Acholeplasmatales; Acholeplasmataceae. The record is from RNAcentral.